UGGGGAAUUUUGGACAAUGGGCGCAAGCCUGAUCCAGCAAUGCCGCGUGCGGGAAGAAGGCCUUCGGGUUGUAAACCGCUUUUGGUAGGAACGAAAAGCUCUGGGCUAAUACCCUGGGGUGAUGACGGUACCUGCAGAAUAAGCACCGGCUAACUACGUGCCAGCAGCCGCGGUAAUACGUAGGGUGCGAGCGUUAAUCGGAAUUACUGGGCGUAAAGCGUGCGCAGGCGGUUGUGCAAGACAGGCGUGAAAUCCCCGGGCUUAACCUGGGAAUGGCGCUUGUGACUGCACGACUGGAGUGCGGCAGAGGGGGAUGGAAUUCCGCGUGUAGCAGUGAAAUGCGUAGAUAUGCGGAGGAACACCGAUGGCGAAGGCAAUCCCCUGGACCUGUACUGACGCUCAUGCACGAAAGCGUGGGGAGCAAACA
This 427-nucleotide ribosomal RNA is filed under the name uncultured Tepidimonas sp. RNAcentral's name for it is "bacterial SSU rRNA". It matches the Rfam family "Bacterial small subunit ribosomal RNA", at positions 355 to 774 of the family's 1533-position model. The record is from RNAcentral. Lineage: Bacteria; Pseudomonadati; Pseudomonadota; Betaproteobacteria; Burkholderiales.